RNAcentral lists this non-coding RNA (101 nucleotides) under Paenibacillus sp. CECT 9249. RNAcentral's name for it is "Purine". It matches the Rfam family "Purine riboswitch aptamer". From Rfam's summary of the family: Riboswitches are metabolite binding domains within certain messenger RNAs that serve as precision sensors for their corresponding targets. The record is from RNAcentral. Lineage: Bacteria; Bacillati; Bacillota; Bacilli; Caryophanales; Paenibacillaceae.
AUAUAGCAACGUCUAUUUUCUCGUAUAUGUACAGGAAUUGGCCUGUAUGUCUCUACCCGGUCACCGGAAAUGAUCGGACUACGGGAACCCGAACCGAUUGC